RNAcentral lists this long non-coding RNA (897 nucleotides) under Cyanistes caeruleus (blue tit). RNAcentral's name for it is "lncRNA (ENSCCEG00000010061.1)". The record is from RNAcentral. Lineage: Eukaryota; Metazoa; Chordata; Aves; Passeriformes; Paridae.
GUUUGCAUGCACAGGGAAGGAACAGCUCUCCUUCCCUCUCAAAACUUUCUCCUCUCUUUUUUCUCCUCUGUGCAAAAGUCUGACAGCUUGAUAAAAGCAGGCUUGUCUCAGAGACUGACUAAUGAAAGUGCUUGCAACAAUUUGGAGCCAAUCUGUCAAUGAAGAGCACACAGGUGGGUCUCUGACAGUCUGCUUUGCAGCAAAGUAUAUAAACCUAUGCUUAACUCUCAGGGCCUUUAGUGGGACUUAAGGAUAUAUUUGAUAAUAUUAAGUGCUGCACUGAUCUGGGAUGACUUGAAUACAAUGAUAGGAACAAGACAAGGGGAGAGGAAAUGAGGGGCUGGCCUCUAAGACAGGGAACAGAGAGAGACUUUCUGUGCCCUUCAAUUCUGCAAUGGCAAAGAAGCUUUUCAUAGUGGAGCACAUAUGCCUUUCUUUUCAUUGCCAUGGAAAUUAUAACUAUGAGCAGUACCAUUGGGGGAAAAAAAAAGGGGUUUAUUUCUCAAACUUCAGCUUCCAGCCCUUGUCAGAUCCUCUCUGGGCCCUUGUUCCCUGGAGCUGACAUGUUGAUGCUUUCAGUUGUAUCUGGUACUGGAGGCUGGUACUACAACAAUGAUUUGGGAGAUCUUGAGGAGUGGCAAGAAUGGGCAAGUGCCUUGAAAGUCUUCAGCAAGGAAGGACUGAUGCAGGAAGCAGUAAUUUCAAUGGACACUGAUUUGGAGCAGCAGUUUUUAAGGAGUUGUGUAUGUUGUUUCCACUUAUGCUAAGCCAGUUUAUAUUUUGUCCUGACUCUUUUACUUUCCUUCUAAAAUUGUACCAUCUUUCAACUUUGGCCUCACAAAGCUGUCGACUAAAUAUGUGGGGGAAUUCUAAUAAAAUAUAUUUGAAUUAGUAUCA